AAAACGUCAACAAACACAAACGCCCUAGCCAGCCGCGUAGGCUACUUGGAUUAUUUAUAAUGGCUAAAAUACAGUUGUUGACAAUGUUUCUCAACCAGCGCUUAACAGCAGCUGCUAAUGAGAUAUUUGGGGCUGUUGAGAAAACGAUAGCAGGGUACCUGGAAGAAGUGUAUCGUUCAACAGAGGAGAACGGCCUCUACAGAGGCAGCUUGAUAUCGUUCUCAAACCACCAGAGAUAAAAUUACAUAGGACAGACUUUCAGCAGCUCUCUCUCACUGUCUUCGAAGAGGAGGUUUCCCUUGAGCAGGAGUGGAGCCCUGGGGCAAGAAGUCUGGGGCAAGAAGACCCAGAGCCCACACAGAUUAAAGAGGAACAACAAGUGCAACACAGGACCCGUCAGGAGGAAGAGUUUCAUAAUGACACCUUCAUAAUUAGCUCUGACUGUGUGAAAAGUGACUAUGAUCAGGAAGAGGACUUAUGUCAGCCCUCACAUCUUUACCAAACCCAAAGUGAGGAAUAUGGACAGGGAGCCUCUCUACCUGGCACCUCAUUGGAACAGAUCAAAGCUGAACCUGAUGGAGAGGGCUACAGAGUAUUAGACUGAGUGACUCUCAGCCCCUCUCUGCAGUAAAUCCAGACUGUUCUCCAAUCCCAAGUGAGUUGUCAAAGAAGAGGAAACAGAACCUUGGAUUACGUUUAAGACACUCAAAUCAAAGAAAGCACAGAAAAUAACAAGCCAAAUCUCCGGUAUCUGGAAAAAAGGAAGGAAAUCCAGUCUCAUCCCAUUUUAGCCCACACUGUCAAAACCUGUUGGUGUGUGUGGAAAUAAAUGUUACUCUGAGUUUUUUAAUAAAACAUACACGAGAACAAACACGAUACAGACCUAGAUUGCCUUUGUGGUGUCUGUGGAAAACACUUUGAGUCCAAAGAAAUUCUUAUAGACGAUCUCCAAACUCGCAUGAAAAAUAUUUUUUGUCACUUAUGUGGUCAAUGUUUCAACUGGACUAGUAAUCUGAAAAGACAUAUCAUGAUUCACACAUGGGAAAGAUCCCAUUGUUGCAGUGACUGUGGCAAAGGCUUCAGGUCGGGUGAUUUGUCUGACAAAGCAUAGGAGUAUUCACACGAUGACAAACCGUUUCCUUGCUCGGUUUGUCAUCGUGUUUUUAACAGACGAGAUAACCUGAAAGUGCAUAUGAGAGUUCACACAGGGAGAGAGACCCUAUAUGUGUUCUGAAUGCUAUAAAUGUUUUGCCACGUUAGCUUCACUGAAUAAGCACCAGACAAUGCACAAUGAGGAAUGACCGUAUGUGUGCACUGAUUGCGGUACACGCUUCAAAGCGCUUGAAUCCCAAAGAAGGCACACGAAGAGUGUUCACAAGAAGGAGCAUACAUGACAAUGCCUUGUAUGGGGUUAUGGUAUCAGACAGAAGAUUGAGGCACAUUCUAACCAACAUUGGACAGGAGAACAGCCCUUCAGGACAAAUGCAUUGCAUUAUGGAAUCAGCACAGUAGUAUCCAUUAGUUAGUUUACCAACUGCAAAUAGCAGACAGAGGUUAUUUAUGUGCAUAAAGGGACGCAUUCUGUAUCUUGUUGACAGCCAAGCUAAUUUAAAAAAAAUAUAUAUAAAUCCACAGUCGGACGCAUUUAAUUGGCUGGGAUGCUGGAUCCGGCCUAACCCAAAUCCAGGCCUACGUAAACCCAACCACAGAAGUGAUCUGUUUAGAUUAGAUCUAAUGUUGACCUGUUAUGAUGGGAAUUAAAAUUAUCUUCUCAACAUUCUGAAUCAAGUUAGCAUUUUUGGCCUCCAUUUCAACUAGUGAUUCAAUUGUGUACUAUUCUGCUUUUCUCCAUUCCCAUUGGUGAUUGAGAGACUUCCAUGGCACGUUUGGUCUUUGACUGUGAUGCUGCAGACUGAACCAAAGCUAUUAUCUGCAAGGUUCUGAACAUUUCACAUGACUGUAUACACACGACGACAUUCUUCAAAAACGACUCGACAUGAUUUCAAAAUUCAAUGAGAAACAACAGAAUUUCAACCAAUCAUGUAUUUUUUAUUGGUUAGCUAUUAACAAGAGUUACACUGACUUACAACUUGCUGUUCAAAACAAGAAGUUUCACAUAAUGCUGCAUUCUCACCUGCAGCUCAUCAUAAAAUGCAUAACAUGGCUGAAAAAUAUGACUAUAUAUCAAGACAUUCGAGAUUCUGAUAUGGUGGUGUUGUUCCAGACAGUCUUUUUUUUCAAUGGGGAUACACAUCUUGGAAGAUUAAAACACAUAGCAGCACUUCACCAGGCUUUGUGAGAUCUGAUCAUCUGCAACAUGAUUGAAAUAAACACAACCUGGAACGGACCCAUUUUCCACUCUAACUUCACCUCCCUGAGCAUGACAAAGUCAGGAAUUGCUUGGCUCAUUUCGCUUUCACUCAAAGACAAACAGAAACAACAAUAACAGACAAUGAUAAAUAAAAAACAAUGAACAAAGAUUGUAUUUAUAUCAA
This is a long non-coding RNA of Oncorhynchus masou masou (cherry salmon), 2495 nucleotides long. RefSeq lists it as uncharacterized. The transcript is spliced from 2 exons. NCBI's taxonomy places the organism in Eukaryota, Metazoa, Chordata, Actinopteri, Salmoniformes, Salmonidae. The record is from RefSeq and is a predicted model, not a curated record.